UGCGCGGCUAACAUGCAAGUCGUACGGUAAGGCCCUUUCGGGGGUACACGAGUGGCGAACGGGUGAGUAACACGUGAGUAACCUGCCCACAACUUUGGGAUAACGCUAGGAAACUGGUGCUAAUACUGGAUAUGUGCUCCUGCUGCAUGGUGGGGGUUGGAAAGCUCCGGCGGUUGUGGAUGGACUCGCGGCCUAUCAGCUUGUUGGUGGGGUAGUGGCCUACCAAGGCGGCGACGGGUAGCCGGCCUGAGAGGGUGACCGGCCACAUUGGGACUGAGAUACGGCCCAGACUCCUACGGGAGGCAGCAGUGGGGAAUAUUGCACAAUGGGCGCAAGCCUGAUGCAGCAACGCCGCGUGCGGGAUGACGGCCUUCGGGUUGUAAACCGCUUUCAGCAGGGACGAAGCUUUUUGUGACGGUACCUGCAGAAGAAGCACCGGCUAACUACGUGCCAGCAGCCGCGGUGAUACGUAGGGUGCGAGCGUUGUCCGGAUUUAUUGGGCGUAAAGGGCUCGUAGGCGGUUGAUCGCGUCGGAAGUGGAAACUUGAUGCUUAACGUUGAGCGUGCUUUCGAUACGGGUUGACUUGAGGAAGGUAGGGGAGAAUGGAAUUCCUGGUGGAGCGGUGGAAUGCGCAGAUAUCAGGAGGAACACCAGUGGCGAAGGCGGUUCUCUGGACCUUUCCUGACGCUGAGGAGCGAAAGCGUGGGGAGCGAACAGGCUUAGAUACCCUGGUAGUCCACGCUGUAAACGGUGGGUACUAGGUGUGGGGUCCAUUCCACGGAUUCUGUGCCGUAGCUAACGCAUUAAGUACCCCGCCUGGGGAGUACGGCCGCAAGGCUAAAACUCAAAGGAAUUGACGGGGCCCCGCACAAGCGGCGGAGCAUGCGGAUUAAUUCGAUGCAACGCGAAGAACCUUACCUGGGUUUGACAUGGAUCGGGAGCUUCCAGAGAUG
This 954-nucleotide ribosomal RNA is filed under the name uncultured bacterium. Its description in RNAcentral is "bacterial SSU rRNA". It matches the Rfam family "Bacterial small subunit ribosomal RNA", at positions 43 to 1008 of the family's 1533-position model. The record is from RNAcentral.